AUGCACGCUGGCGGCGUGCCUAAUCCAUGCAAGUCGAGCGAACAGAUGAGGAGCUUGCUCCUCUGACGUUAGCGGCGGACGGGUGAGUAACACGUGGAUAACCUACCUAUAAGACUGGGAUAACUUCGGGAAACCGGAGCUAAUACCGGAUAAUAUAUUGAACCGCAUGGUUCAAUAGUGAAAGACGGUUUUGCUGUCACUUAUAGAUGGAUCCGCGCCGCAUUAGCUAGUUGGUAAGGUAACGGCUUACCAAGGCAACGAUGCGUAGCCGACCUGAGAGGGUGAUCGGCCACACUGGAACUGAGACACGGUACAGACUCCUACGGGAGGCAGCAGUAGGGAAUCUUCCGCAAUGGGCGAAAGCCUGACGGAGCAACGCCGCGUGAGUGAUGAAGGUCUUCGGAUCGUAAAACUCUGUUAUUAGGGAAGAACAAAUGUGUAAGUAACUAUGCACGUCUUGACGGUACCUAAUCAGAAAGCCACGGCUAACUACGUG
This 496-nucleotide ribosomal RNA is filed under the name uncultured bacterium. RNAcentral describes it as "partial 16S ribosomal RNA". It matches the Rfam family "Bacterial small subunit ribosomal RNA", at positions 29 to 507 of the family's 1533-position model. The record is from RNAcentral.